This 443-nucleotide ribosomal RNA is filed under the name uncultured bacterium. RNAcentral's name for it is "partial 16S ribosomal RNA". It matches the Rfam family "Bacterial small subunit ribosomal RNA", at positions 338 to 795 of the family's 1533-position model. The record is from RNAcentral.
CCUACGGGAGGCAGCAGUGGGGAAUAUUGGGCAAUGGAGGAAACUCUGACCCAGCAACGCCGCGUGAAUGAUGAAGGUCUUCGGAUUGUAAAGCUCUUUUCUUAGGGAAGAAGAAAGUGACGGUACCUUAGGAUUAAGCCUCCGCUAACUACGGGCCAGCACCCGCGGUAAUACGUAGGAGGCGAGCGUUAUCCGGAAUGACUGGGCGUAAAGGGUGCGUAGGUGGUUUGGCAAGUUAGUAGCGUAACUCCAAGGCGGAACCUUGGAACUACUACUAAAACUGGUGGACUUGAGUGCAGGGGAGGCAAGCGGAAUUCGUGGUGUAGCGGUGGAAUGCGUAGAUAUUAGGAGGAACACCAGUGGCGAAGGCGGGUUGCUGGACUGUAACUGACGCUGAGGCACGAAAGCGUGGGGAGCAAACAGGAUUAGAUACCCUUGUAGUC